Transfer RNA from Vanderwaltozyma polyspora DSM 70294, 99 nucleotides. It matches the Rfam family "tRNA". From Rfam's summary of the family: Transfer RNA (tRNA) molecules are approximately 80 nucleotides in length. Their secondary structure includes four short double-helical elements and three loops (D, anti-codon, and T loops). Further hydrogen bonds mediate the characteristic L-shaped molecular structure. tRNAs have two regions of fundamental functional importance: the anti-codon, which is responsible for specific mRNA codon recognition, and the 3' end, to which the tRNAs corresponding amino acid is attached (by aminoacyl-tRNA synthetases). tRNAs cope with the degeneracy of the genetic code in two manners: having more than one tRNA (with a specific anti-codon) for a particular amino acid; and 'wobble' base-pairing, i.e. permitting non-standard base-pairing at the 3rd anti-codon position. NCBI's taxonomy places the organism in Eukaryota, Fungi, Ascomycota, Saccharomycetes, Saccharomycetales, Saccharomycetaceae. The record is from Rfam.
GCGGAUUUAGCUCAGUUGGGAGAGCGCCAGACUGAAGAAUUAACUUCGGUCAAAUCAUCUGUUAUCUGGAGGUCCUGUGUUCGAUCCACAGAAUUCGCA